RNAcentral lists this ribosomal RNA (447 nucleotides) under uncultured bacterium. RNAcentral describes it as "bacterial SSU rRNA". It matches the Rfam family "Bacterial small subunit ribosomal RNA", at positions 355 to 825 of the family's 1533-position model. The record is from RNAcentral.
UGGGGAAUCUUGCGCAAUGGGCGAAAGCCUGACGCAGCCAUGCCGCGUGAAUGAUGAAGGUCUUAGGAUUGUAAAGUUCUUUCGCCCGUGACGAUGAUGACGGUAACGGGAGAAGAAGCCCCGGCUAACUUCGUGCCAGCAGCCGCGGUAAUACGAAGGGAGCUAGCGUUGUUCGGAAUCACUGGGCGUAAAGCGCACGUAGGUGGGCAGUUAAGUCAGGGGUGAAAGCCCGAGGCUCAACCUCGGAAUUGCCUCUGAUACUGGCUGUCUAGAGUUCGAGAGAGGUGAGUGGAAUUCCUAGUGUAGAGGUGAAAUUCGUAGAUAUUAGGAAGAACACCGGUGGCGAAGGCGGCUCACUGGCUCGAUACUGACACUGAGGUGCGAAAGCGUGGGGAGCAAACGGGAUUAGAUACCCAAGUAGUCCCUGAGCGGGCUGGCAAGGCGCAU